This 355-nucleotide ribosomal RNA is filed under the name uncultured eukaryote. RNAcentral describes it as "bacterial SSU rRNA". It matches the Rfam family "Eukaryotic small subunit ribosomal RNA", at positions 1326 to 1698 of the family's 1831-position model. The record is from RNAcentral.
CGAUAACGAACGAGACCUCGACCUGCUAAAUAGUCACAGGGUAUUCAUGCGAUACAAUUGUACUUCUUAGAGGGACUAUCAGUUGGUGUACCUGAUGGAAGUUCGAGGCAAUAACAGGUCUGUGAUGCCCUUAGAUGUCCUGGGCUGCACGCGCGCUACACUGAUUCACACAUCGAGCUUACAACCUGGACUGGAAGGUUUGGGUAAUCUUGAAAAGCGAAUCGUGAUGGGGAUAGAUUAUUGUAAUUUUUGAUCUUCAACGAGGAAUUCCUAGUAAACGCGCGUCACUAACGCGCAUUGAUUACGUCCCUGCCCUUUGUACACACCGCCCGUCGCUACUACCGAUUGAAUGGCU